Long non-coding RNA from Hippocampus zosterae (dwarf seahorse), 515 nucleotides. RefSeq lists it as uncharacterized. The transcript is spliced from 2 exons. NCBI's taxonomy places the organism in Eukaryota, Metazoa, Chordata, Actinopteri, Syngnathiformes, Syngnathidae. The record is from RefSeq and is a predicted model, not a curated record.
AGUUUCGACUUGCUGAGUCACUUUGCCAAUCUUUGAUGAUAUUAAACUUAACAUGUCUUAAUGUGAUAACUGAUGACGUUUUUGUGUCAAAUUCAAAAUGGGACAUUCAACAUUUUUCCUGUUAAGCAGGAAUGUGCUUCCGUAGCGUAGCACAUAAAUAUCAAAUGCAAAUGUGUUGUUCUUAAAAGUGGACGAAAACAGAAUUCUACUUUCAAAAAGUAAUGGAAUUGAGAAAAAAACUGUGACUGUGCGUUUCUAAAAGCUUUGUUACAAUAUUUGUUAAUAUUUAAAUGUAAAAUAUUUUUUUAUUUGAUUGCAUUUCACGUUUUAGAUGAAAACGUAGACUUUUUCUUUCGGGGAACAGUGGGUGAGGAUUCUUUUUCGUACCACAAGAGGGAGCCCACGUACCUGCACCACUCUGACAAUCACUGCUCACUACAUCAAACAAACCGAACAUCACUCGUAUGGCAUACAAAACUUUGAAGCAAUAAUUUUGAAAGCUGACGCGACAAGCU